RNAcentral lists this ribosomal RNA (253 nucleotides) under uncultured Blautia sp. Its description in RNAcentral is "partial 16S ribosomal RNA". It matches the Rfam family "Bacterial small subunit ribosomal RNA", at positions 524 to 776 of the family's 1533-position model. Lineage: Bacteria; Bacillati; Bacillota; Clostridia; Lachnospirales; Lachnospiraceae. The record is from RNAcentral.
UACGUAGGGGGCAAGCGUUAUCCGGAUUUACUGGGUGUAAAGGGAGCGUAGACGGAAUUGCAAGUCUGAUGUGAAAAUCCGGGGCCCAACCCCGGAACUGCAUUGGAAACUGUAUUUCUAGAGUGUCGGAGAGGCAAGUGGAAUUCCUGGUGUAGCGGUGAAAUGCGUAGAUAUCGAGAGGAACACUCGUGGCGAAGGCGGGUUCCUGGACAUUAACUGACGCUGAGGCACGAAGGCCAGGGGAGCGAAAGGG